UGAGGAGACUGAGGCCCAGAGGCCCAAGCCCUUAACCUCGGUCUGCACAGCUAGGAAGGCAGCCCAGUGAUUUUAUCCUUCCCACCGGUGCUUGUAGUAGGUAAUACAAGAGGGCAAGGUCACUUAUAAGGAAUUAGGAGUGGGAACGGCUUUGGACUUGACGAAGGCUACACUGACAAGAAGGGGAUGAGCCAGUACUAUGCAGUUGGCCCCUGCCCAGCUUCUUCUGUAGGAAAAUGAUUUCCAGACUAGAAUUCUACCCAGUGCUAUAGACUGAAUAUCUGCAGCCCCACCCCCAGGAGCCCCCGCUCUGUCGUGGGCGGACCCAACCGUGCCCGGGGCUGAGGGCAAGCAAGGGCAGAAGGCGGCAGAUGCUGGAGCCCAGCGCCGGUCUGAACCCCAACUCCACCCCUGCCGGCUGUGUGACCCUGGGCGAGGCACCUGCCCUCUCGGUGCUUUGGGUUUCCUGUUCCGUGAACGAGAGAAAGCCUGGGGACGAGGCACGCGACUCUCUGUUGGCUGCCUACAACGGAGCCUGUUACCGGGGGAGCUCUCUAGCUUUGUGGAGCAGACAUUAGAAAAAACAGGGUGCUAGGCCAGGCUCAGCUGGAGGGAGAAGGAGCCAGGGGUGGGGGGCCCAGGGGAGGCUUCCCGGAGGACACCCCAGGCCAAGGCCACUGGGGAAAGGAGCAGGCAGGGGCGAGGGCCCAGUGGGGGGAAAGGAGACCAGGGGACCCUCUUGA
This is a long non-coding RNA of Leopardus geoffroyi (Geoffroy's cat), 743 nucleotides long. RefSeq lists it as uncharacterized. The transcript is spliced from 3 exons. The record is from RefSeq and is a predicted model, not a curated record. Lineage: Eukaryota; Metazoa; Chordata; Mammalia; Carnivora; Felidae.